RNAcentral lists this ribosomal RNA (235 nucleotides) under uncultured Lactobacillus sp. Its description in RNAcentral is "partial 16S ribosomal RNA". It matches the Rfam family "Bacterial small subunit ribosomal RNA", at positions 127 to 355 of the family's 1533-position model. The record is from RNAcentral. Lineage: Bacteria; Bacillati; Bacillota; Bacilli; Lactobacillales; Lactobacillaceae.
UGCCCAAGAGAUCUGUAUAACACCUGGAAACAGAUGCUAAUACCGGAUAACAACAGAUGAUGCCUAUCAACUGUUUAAAAGAUGGUUCUGCUAUCACUCUUGGAUGGACCUGCGGUGCAUUAGCUAGUUGGUAGGGUAACGGCCUACCAAGGCGAUGAUGCAUAGCCGAGUUGAGAGACUGAUCGGCCACAUUGGGACUGAGACACGGCCCAAACUCCUACGGGAGGCAGCAGUA